This 640-nucleotide long non-coding RNA is filed under the name Equus asinus (donkey). RNAcentral describes it as "lncRNA (ENSEASG00005025486.1)". The record is from RNAcentral. Lineage: Eukaryota; Metazoa; Chordata; Mammalia; Perissodactyla; Equidae.
GGAGAUAAGAUAUGAGAGCAGAUGGGUAAUAUAAGUAGAGAGAUGAAAUCUCUGAAAAAAGAAUCAAAAGGAAAUGUUAGAAAUCAAAAACUGCAACAGAAGUGAAGAAUGCCUUGCAAAAAAUAUUAACAGAAGUUCUUCAGGGAAAAGGAAAUGAUAUAGGUCAGAAACUCAGAUCUACAUAAAGGAAGGAAGAGUAUUGGAAGGAAUAAAUGAAGAUUCUGAAGAGUUAAGAGUCAUGGUUCCUAAAAGGGAAUACUUCUACCAUGGCUGUCAACUGGGUUCUUUAAGUUCCUUAUGCCAAGGGACCAGAAGGCAAGAAGAGGAAUCACCAUCCUGGCAGAAGUAAUUGGCCUUUGUCACCAGGAGGAGAUCAUUAAUGAAGAUGUUAAAUGAGACCAGAAUGAAGCCGCGUCCCCGUGGCAUCCCGCUAGACACCUUCCAACAACUUGACACUCUGCCAUUUGCUGUUUCAUUACCCUUUGUUUACCUCGUGAGCGCAGGCCCUUGCUUUAGAAAGAGGCAGAAAGCUUGAUAUUUCUGCUGCUGCCGGGAUGCCACUUUAGGGUGGGGAUAUUAAAACCUGGCAGAUUGUAAAUACAUCCUUUUGAGUUUGAAUUAAAUGUGGAUUAUGAAUAGA